GGGGGUGUAGCUCAGUGGUAGAGCGCAUGCUUCGCAUGCAUGAGGUCCCGGGUUCGACUCCUGGCACCUCCA
Molecule: non-coding RNA, 72 nt
Organism: Equus caballus (horse)
Lineage: Eukaryota; Metazoa; Chordata; Mammalia; Perissodactyla; Equidae
Source: Rfam